GACCGUGUUUCCUAACGGAUAAGGCGUCGGACUUCGGAUCCGAAGAUUGCAGGUUCGAGUCCUGCCAUGGUCG
This 73-nucleotide transfer RNA is filed under the name Blattella germanica (German cockroach). Its description in RNAcentral is "tRNA-Arg (TCG) (tRNA-Arg-TCG-27-1)". It matches the Rfam family "tRNA". Rfam says of the family: Transfer RNA (tRNA) molecules are approximately 80 nucleotides in length. Their secondary structure includes four short double-helical elements and three loops (D, anti-codon, and T loops). Further hydrogen bonds mediate the characteristic L-shaped molecular structure. tRNAs have two regions of fundamental functional importance: the anti-codon, which is responsible for specific mRNA codon recognition, and the 3' end, to which the tRNAs corresponding amino acid is attached (by aminoacyl-tRNA synthetases). tRNAs cope with the degeneracy of the genetic code in two manners: having more than one tRNA (with a specific anti-codon) for a particular amino acid; and 'wobble' base-pairing, i.e. permitting non-standard base-pairing at the 3rd anti-codon position. Lineage: Eukaryota; Metazoa; Arthropoda; Insecta; Blattodea; Blattellidae. The record is from RNAcentral.